CUAUUUUAUGAAUUUGUUAUGGUUUUUUGUGAAAGUAGGGAACUAGUAUGUUUUUUUUUAUGAUUCUAAUGAAUUGUUUUCAUGUUUUUAUUUAUGCUAUUUUAUUUUAUAUAUUUUAAAAUAUUAAUUAAUUAUAUAAUGUGAGGCUCAAAAAGCUUACGCCUCAACGCCUCGAGGCUUACGCCUCGCCUCACGAACAUAAAAACACCUUGCCUUACGCUUUCGCCUUUAAAAACU
Molecule: long non-coding RNA, 237 nt
Filed under: Vitis vinifera (wine grape)
Lineage: Eukaryota; Viridiplantae; Streptophyta; Magnoliopsida; Vitales; Vitaceae
Description: long non-coding RNA (VVIN_LNC002541)
Source: RNAcentral